RNAcentral lists this non-coding RNA (25 nucleotides) under Rattus norvegicus (Norway rat). The record is from RNAcentral. Lineage: Eukaryota; Metazoa; Chordata; Mammalia; Rodentia; Muridae.
UGGAAAUUAUAAGGUGACUGGGGUC